CACAGUGUAGCAAUACAUGGGUGGCGACCGGCAAACGGGUGCGGAACACGUACGCAACCUUCCUUCAGGCGGGGAAUAGCCCAGAGAAAUUUGGAUUAAUACCCCAUAAUAUUUUGAGAUGGCAUCAUCUUAUUAUUAAAGCUACGGCACCUGGAGAUGGGCGUGCGGCUGAUUAGGUAGUUGGCGGGGUAAUGGCCCACCAAGCCUACGAUCAGUAGCUGAUGUGAGAGCAUGAUCAGCCACACGGGCACUGAGACACGGGCCCGACUCCUACGGGAGGCAGCAGUAAGGAAUAUUGGUCAAUGGACGCAAGUCUGAACCAGCCAUGCCGCGUGGAGGAUGAAGGUCCUCUGAAUUGUAAACUUCUUUUAUCUGGGACGAAAAAAGGGUUUUCUAACUCGUCUGACGGUACCAGAUGAAUAAGCACCGGCUAACUCCGUGCCAGCAGCCGCGGUAAUACGGAGGGUGCAAGCGUUAUCCGGAUUCACUGGGUUUAAAGGGUGCGUAGGCGGGCAUUUAAGUCAGUGGUGAAAUACCUGAGCUUAACUUGGGAACUGCCAUUGAUACUAUUUGUCUUGAAUGUCGUGGAGGUUAGCGGAAUAUGUCAUGUAGCGGUGAAAUGCUUAGAUAUGACAUAGAACACCUAUUGCGAAGGCAGCUAACUACGCGAAUAUUGACGCUGAGGCACGAAAGCGUGGGGAUCAAACAGGAUUAGAUACCCUGGUAGUCCACGCCCUAAACGAUGAUUACUCGACAUUAGCGAUACACUGUUAGUGUCUGAGCG
This 784-nucleotide ribosomal RNA is filed under the name uncultured bacterium. RNAcentral describes it as "SSU rRNA". It matches the Rfam family "Bacterial small subunit ribosomal RNA", at positions 70 to 853 of the family's 1533-position model. The record is from RNAcentral.